CCGCAAUGGACGAAAGUCUGACGGAGCACGCCGUGUGAAUGAAGAAGCCGAAAGUUGUAAAAUUCUUUUGCAGAUGAAGAAUAAGAAAAGAGGAAUGCUUCUUUGAUGACGGUAGUCUUGCGAAUAAGCCCCGGCUAAUUACGUGCCAGCAGCCGCGGUAACACGUAAGGGGCGAGCGUUGUUCGGAAUUAUUGGGCGUAAAGGGUAUGUAGGCGGUUAGGUAAGCCUGGUGUGAAAUCUACGAGCUCAACUCGUAAACUGCAUUGGGUACUGCUUGACUUGAAUCACGGAGGGGAAACCGGAAUUCCAAGUGUAGGGGUGGAAUCUGUAGAUAUUUGGAAGAACACCGGUGGCGAAGGCGGGUUUCUGGCCGAUGAUUGACGCUGAUAUACGAAGGUGCGGGGAGCAAACAGGAUUAGAUACCCUGGUAGUCCGCACAGUAAACGAUGUACACUAGGUGUCGGGGCAAGAGCUUCGGUGCCGACGCAGACGCAUUAAGUGUACCGCCUGGGAAGCAUGCCGCAAGGUGAAACUCAAAGGAAUUGACGGGGCCCAACAAGCGGUGGAGCAUGUGGUUUAAUUCGAUGAUACGCGA
This 595-nucleotide ribosomal RNA is filed under the name Treponema denticola. RNAcentral describes it as "bacterial SSU rRNA". It matches the Rfam family "Bacterial small subunit ribosomal RNA", at positions 366 to 964 of the family's 1533-position model. Lineage: Bacteria; Pseudomonadati; Spirochaetota; Spirochaetia; Treponematales; Treponemataceae. The record is from RNAcentral.